UCCUCAGUGCAGCGGAUAAAAAAAAAAAAAAAAAAUCACACACAAAUAAUGGUUUACAGAUGGAGGAAUCAUUUGAAGAGGGCCGGUGCAGUUAAAACCAAGUGCGCUGAGAUCUGAAAGACAUAUGUCCAUCAUCUAUCAUUCUCACAGCUUUAAAACAAUCACAUCUCAAAAGACACUAUGAACUAGGUCAGGACACAACCUGCAGUCUGUUUGAUAAAGGCAAGCUGAUUGCAGAGGAAUACUUGGGAGUCUACGUAUCUACUUGUUCAAGUUACACAUUUAGUCUGUCUCUCACACACACACACA
This is a long non-coding RNA of Thalassophryne amazonica, 309 nucleotides long. RefSeq lists it as uncharacterized. The record is from RefSeq and is a predicted model, not a curated record. Lineage: Eukaryota; Metazoa; Chordata; Actinopteri; Batrachoidiformes; Batrachoididae. The transcript is spliced from 2 exons.